This 323-nucleotide ribosomal RNA is filed under the name uncultured bacterium. RNAcentral's name for it is "bacterial SSU rRNA". It matches the Rfam family "Bacterial small subunit ribosomal RNA", at positions 390 to 706 of the family's 1533-position model. The record is from RNAcentral.
AGCCUGCCGCGUGUAUGAAGAAGGCCUUCGGGUUGUAAAGUACUUUCAGCGGGGAGGAAGGCGAUGUGGUUAAUAACCUUGUCGAUUGACGUUACCCGCAGAAGAAGCACCGGCUAACUCCGUGCCAGCAGCCGCGGUAAUACGGAGGGUGCAAGCGUUAAUCGGAAUUACUGGGCGUAAAGCGCACGCAGGCGGUUUGUUAAGUCGGAUGUGAAAUCCCCGGGCUCAACCUGGGAACUGCAUUUGAAACUGGCAGGCUUGAGUCUCGUAGAGGGGGGUAGAAUUCCAGGUGUAGCGGUGAAAUGCUUAUAUUUUUGGUGGAU